GUGGGCACUUUGGAUUAUGCACAUCUGGUCAUGGGUCUGUCUUUGGGGAAAACUCUGGGGUUGAAUCUAACCUCUGAGGUUCUCCACCCCAUCUACCUCAGUGUCUGCUGAAACCCCAGUACAGUUUGUGCUGGAAUCUAGUAAGGUCAUUAACAUUCAACAUCCUGUCAUUAUCAGCCGCAUUCUGGAUGAUUUUGUUACCGCGGAAUUCUGAGAGGGUACAAAUCCGUCUCAGCCCAGCUAAUUAGAUCUACUUUGAAUCUAGUGUUCAAAAAGAAGACAGCGUCACACUUUAGGGUGGUCAGGAUGGCCUCUGCCAGCUCCAGGGUUUGGUCAGCGUCUUCCCAUGGAGCAGACAGAACAGAAGUCUCAGGAGGCUGGAGAUAUAAUCAUGCAGUGAAGACAGAAGACAGAGGCCGGAAGACGGGAGGCCAG
Long non-coding RNA from Heterocephalus glaber (naked mole-rat), 435 nucleotides. NCBI's taxonomy places the organism in Eukaryota, Metazoa, Chordata, Mammalia, Rodentia, Bathyergidae. The record is from Ensembl.